AAUAGAUACCCCGGUAGUCCACGCCGUAAACGAUGAAUACUAGGUGUAGGAGGUAUCGACUCCUUCUGUGCCGCAGUUAACACAAUAAGUAUUCCGCCUGGGGAGUACGAUCGCAAGAUUAAAACUCAAAGGAAUUGACGGGGGCCCGCACAAGCAGCGGAGCAUGUGGUUUAAUUCGAAGCAACGCGAAGAACCUUACCUAGACUUGACAUCUCCUGAAUUACCCUUAACCGGGGAAGCCCUUCGGGGCAGGAAGACAGGUGGUGCAUGGUUGUCGUCAGCUCGUGUCGUGAGAUGUUGGGUUAAGUCCCGCAACGAGCGCAACCCGUUAUCAUUAGUUGCUACCAUUAAGUUGAGCACUCUAGUGAGACUGCCACGGUUAACGUGGAGGAAGGUGGGGAUGACGUCAAAUCAUCAUGCCCCUUAUGUCUAGGGCUACACACGUGCUACAAUGGUGAAUACAAAUGAUGCAAUACCGCGAGGUGGAGCCAACCUNUAAAAUUCAUCCCAGUUCGGAUUGUAGUCUGAAACUCGACUAA
RNAcentral lists this ribosomal RNA (539 nucleotides) under uncultured bacterium. RNAcentral describes it as "bacterial SSU rRNA". It matches the Rfam family "Bacterial small subunit ribosomal RNA", at positions 777 to 1319 of the family's 1533-position model. The record is from RNAcentral.